RNAcentral lists this ribosomal RNA (449 nucleotides) under uncultured bacterium. RNAcentral's name for it is "bacterial SSU rRNA". It matches the Rfam family "Bacterial small subunit ribosomal RNA", at positions 954 to 1407 of the family's 1533-position model. The record is from RNAcentral.
AUGGGAACGCGAAGAACCUUACCUAGACUUGACAUCUCCUGAAUAGUGUAGAGAUACAUGAAGCCCUUCGGGGCAGGAAGACAGGUGGUGCAUGGUUGUCGUCAGCUCGUGUCGUGAGAUGUUGGGUUAAGUCCCGCAACGAGCGCAACCCUUAUUACUAGUUGCUACCAUUAAGUUGAGCACUCUAGUGAGACUGCCCGGGUUAACCGGGAGGAAGGCGGGGAUGACGUCAAAUCAUCAUGCCCCUUAUGUCUAGGGCAACACACGUGCUACAAUGGUGAGUACAGAUAGAUGCGAUACCGCAAGGUGGAGCCAAACUCUAAAACUCAUCCCAGUUCGGAUUGUAGGCUGCAACUCGCCUACAUGAAGUUGGAGUUGCUAGUAAUCGCGAAUCAGAAUGUCGCGGUGAAUACGUUCCCGGGUCUUGUACACACCGAGUCGUGGGAGGC